Molecule: ribosomal RNA, 359 nt
Filed under: uncultured fungus
Lineage: Eukaryota; Fungi
Description: SSU rRNA
Rfam family: Eukaryotic small subunit ribosomal RNA
Source: RNAcentral
GUAGUCAUAUGCUUGUCUCAAAGAUUAAGCCAUGCAUGUCUCAGUACAAGCCAAAUUAAGGUGAAACCGCGAAAGGCUCAUUAAAUCAGUUAUGGUUCCUUAGAUCGUACCACAUUUACUUGGAUAACUGUGGUAAUUCUAGAGCUAAUACAUGCAAGCAGAACUCCGACCGGAGACGGAAGGAGUGCUUUUAUUAGAUCAAAACCAAUCGGUGGCAACAUCGUACACUUUGGUGACUCUGAAUAACUUUUUGCUGAUCGCACGGUCUUUCACCGGCGACGCAUCUUUCAAAUGUCUGCCUUACCAACUGUCGAUGGUAGGUUCUGCGCCUACCAUGGUUGCAACGGGUAACGGGGAAU